AUGUCUGUGGUACUCAUUCUUCUAAGUGCUUUAUAUUUAUAAUCUCUCAUAACCCUGUUCCAAUUCUGUGAUAUAGUUAUUAGGAUCAUCACUUAAAAUGGGACAGAAGCUGGGGCUCAGCUUAGUUGCCUAAGGUUUCAAAGCCAAUAGUUGCUGGGAUCAUAACUUGAAGCCAUAUUUCAUAAACUCUGAAACUUACAUGUUGUUGCUUAAUUCCUACAUUGUAAUGCUUCUCUAUACAGUUCAUUGGUUCUGUUCUCACAUAGCUUACAGACAACUGGAAAGAUAGCAAAUUUAAUCAAGUGCAGGAUCAGAGAUUAGCAAGAGACAACAUGGAACACAGAGAAGGCCAUUGAUGUCAGAGGGGAAGUAUGAAGAUUAGCAAUGGCUCCUCAGGGGAGGAGUCACAAAUUGAGAACUGAAGGAUAAGUGGAAGUCUACUGAUGAAGCAAGGGGCAUCACCUAGGCAGAGGUACAGCAAGUACAAAGACCUGGGGAUGGGAAGCAGCCCAACACAUUCAAGGAACUAUCAUGUUCCCUGCUCCUAAGUCGGUGGGAUGUCAGAGAAGGAGGAUCCCUGAAGCAGAAGAGACAACAAAGACCCCCUGAAAACCGUCGACGAGAUUGUGUGUUUGGGAACGGAAAACCUCCUUAGAUGAUUAAAAGCAUUUCUGCGACUGCGGUUUCUGAGCUCGAAGUCUUUCCCUCUCCCAGCGCCGCGCACGCCCCGCCCGGUGCCCGGUAGUAACCCCGAGACUCGCGGCGGCCUCGGCCGUCCUCAACAUAGCCAUUUGAGAAGUGGAAAGAAAAAAAAAAAAGAAUGUGUUCCUUUUCACUUCAAACCUGUUGUUAGGUUCGGGCCCCUCCCUGACAGAACUGGGAAUAUUAACUUUGUGCCUAUGUGGCUUUUCCGCGGGCGUGUGCUCCAUUCAGAAACCCAGGACUCCUUUCCUAACCGCGUUUUGAGAAAAACGAUGAACUGAGAGGACAGAGCUGAAUCGGGGCCAGCUGUAGAAGAAGGUGGAACGUGAAGAUGUCUGAUAGGAGGUGGAUGAGAAAUUAAGAGGAGUCCGCCGAGGCAGGGAGAUGCUCAGGGGGCCUCGGUCGCCACCAUCCCCCUCCCUAGUCUGAGAUUGUGCCUAGCCCCUUACAGACCCAGAUAUUAGCGCACAUCCGCAAAGCCCAUACCCUUCAUUUCAGAAGGGAACAGAAACCAACAGAAAAUAAACGCUCUGGCCACCCCACUGCGACUGGGAGCGAGCUGUGCGCAGGCGCACUGGGUUCCGCGUUUGCCCUCGAGUUACCCAGCGCGGCUAGCCCGGCGAACUAGGUGAAAGGUAACUAGCAGACGCUGCUCCGGGCUGCUGCCCCGGCGCGCGUGUGCUGGCAGGCGGGCUGGCGCGGGCCUGGUAGCUGCUUCCCUCCGUCGCAGAUUUCUCCAAGUCUGCACGUCAUGGAGCUGCGGGGGUGGCAGGGAGCGGCUCAAGAGGCAGCUGAGCGGCCGGGCAUCGAGCAGAUUUGGAAAAUGCUUGUCACUCAGUCUUGCAUGGGGAAAUGAGUUCCAGGCAUGGUGCAGGGGAGAAAACCACCCCCUGAGCGCCAUGCAUGUGGUGGACACCGAGCUGGGUGUUAUCUUCAUUCUUGCAUUCCAACAGACAAGAGACCAGCAGAGUUGAGAUCGUGUGUCCCAUUUCAGAGGGAUAAAAACCUCAAGGUCAAGUUCCCCCACCCACUGUCCCAGAGACCUAUGUGAGAGCUUCAAGCUUUAUGGGAUGAGCUGACCAGGCAUGAGGAAGACAACGAUGUUUUCAUCAUUGGAGGUUUCCACUGAUGUUUCCAUUACAGAAGUAUAAAGUGACCCUCCCACCCCUUCUAGCAGAUAUAUGUCUUGUUAGCUCAUCCAGUGGAAGAAGGACAUGGCAACCCAUUCCAUUAUUCUUGCCUAGAGAAUCCCGUGGACAGAGGAGCCUGGUGGGCUGCUGUCCAUGGGGUUGCACAGAGCCGGACACGACUGAAGCGACAUAGCAGCAGCAGCAGCAGCAGCUCAUCCAGGGCAAGGACAGAGUGCGCUGUUCAUGGUUUGUUGAAAAUGGUGUUUAUUGGGUGAGUUUAUAACUGACUGAACACAUGUUCAACCCCAGACUAGACCAGAGGGAAAUUGCAAUAGUGUCUGGCAAAAGGUGAAGGGACUGUUUUCCUGUGACUCUUCCCAGAGGAGAACUCUUGCUUUCAUUCAACACACAUACUGAGCCUGAGCACCCACACUGCUGUACACACAGGUGGAAAACAGGAUGGGGGCUUCAAAGGGCAGGAAUGCCUUGCUUUCCUGAAAAUUCCAUUCUGAGUCCUAGACAUCUGGGAAUUGGCCAACCUCCAUGCAUGUGGAAACCAUUGUAUUUCCUGUCAGCUCAAAAGUGCAUCUCCCAGGGAAGAGCAUGGAAGCAAAUCACACUCCUCCUACCCCCACCUGCCUCAGAAUCAGAAAAAUGAUAGCAGCUCAGCUCCUCUCCACAAGAGGCCUGGGAAACAGGCAACUGCUGAAAGGGAAGUGCAAGGGGAGCAGAAAAGGCUGCAGAUCUGCCAGUCAGCCCCCUCCCACCCUCAUCUCUUUCCAAGAACCCCCUUCCUUAAGUGUUCAGUCAGGGAAUUGGAAUGUCACCGCCUUGUGCUCCAAGACUGCGCUGCUGCUCAGGCUGAUAAAGACAAAGGCUGUGAUUGGACUGUGUUUUGCCCUAACGUAACCCUGCAUCACAGCCUCCCCGAGGUGACUAGGGGAGAUCAUGUGCUGCCCGAUGUUGUCAAGAUGCCUCUGAACCGCCUGCCUGGUGGUGUUGGCAGGAAGAAAGCUGCUUGGGGACUGACAUCAUCAGCUCAUGUGCUGAGAACAUUGGCCACAGUGAGCCCUUUGCUAGAAUAAACACUUUUACUUAAAUUCCCAUAUGAUCCUCCACAGAUCUACACAGUAAUCCCCAUUUUGCACAGGAUAAAACUGAGACUCUUGAGAGGGUAAAUGGUUUCCUGACAUCACACAAUCUGCAAAAGGCAUGGCUGAAACUCAACUUUUCUUACUGCUGUAUGCAUUUGACCCUAAUUGUCCCCUCCUCACCCAGUGGGGCAGGUACUUGGGGCUGGUUGGGAAAACUGCUGCUAAAUUUCUUUCUUCCCUAAUUAUCCCGGAGGUAGUUCAAUAAAAUGUACAGCAAAUGAAAA
Long non-coding RNA from Bubalus bubalis (water buffalo), 3210 nucleotides. RefSeq lists it as uncharacterized. The transcript is spliced from 3 exons. The record is from RefSeq and is a predicted model, not a curated record. Lineage: Eukaryota; Metazoa; Chordata; Mammalia; Artiodactyla; Bovidae.